AGAGUUUGAUCCUGGCUCAGAACGAACGCUGGCGGCAUGCCUAACACAUGCAAGUCGAACGAGAUCUUCGGGUCUAGUGGCGCACGGGUGCGUAACGCGUGGGAAUCUGCCCUUUGGUUCGGAAUAACAGUUGGAAACGACUGCUAAUACCGGAUGAUGACGAAAGUCCAAAGAUUUAUCGCCAGAGGAUGAGCCCGCGUAGGAUUAGCUAGUUGGUGUGGUAAAGGCGCACCAAGGCGACGAUCCUUAGCUGGUCUGAGAGGAUGAUCAGCCACACUGGGACUGAGACACGGCCCAGACUCCUACGGGAGGCAGCAGUGGGGAAUAUUGGACAAUGGGCGAAAGCCUGAUCCAGCAAUGCCGCGUGAGUGAUGAAGGCCUUAGGGUUGUAAAGCUCUUUUACCCGGGAUGAUAAUGACAGUACCGGAGAA
RNAcentral lists this ribosomal RNA (431 nucleotides) under uncultured organism. Its description in RNAcentral is "bacterial SSU rRNA". It matches the Rfam family "Bacterial small subunit ribosomal RNA", at positions 8 to 485 of the family's 1533-position model. The record is from RNAcentral.